This 442-nucleotide ribosomal RNA is filed under the name Hyalosphenia papilio. Its description in RNAcentral is "SSU rRNA". It matches the Rfam family "Eukaryotic small subunit ribosomal RNA", at positions 1024 to 1461 of the family's 1831-position model. RNAcentral also lists the same sequence under 1 other name. Lineage: Eukaryota; Tubulinea; Elardia; Arcellinida; Hyalospheniidae. The record is from RNAcentral.
GUCGCACUAUAAACUUUGUCGCCCAAGGGGUAGUGGUAGUUACAUGAUGACACCCCUAUAACUUUGUGAGAAAUCACAAGUAUUUGGACUCUGGGGGAAGUAUGGUCGCAAGGCUGAAACUUAAAGGAAUUGACGGAAGGGCACCACCAGGAGUGGAACCUGCGGCUUAAUUUGACUCAACACGGGGAAACUUACCAGGUCCGGACACAAUAAGGAUUGACAGAUUGAUAGCUCUUUCUUGAUUCUGUGGAAAGUGGUGCAUGGCCGUUUUUAGUUGGUGGAUUGAUUUGUCUGGUUAAUUCCGUUAACGAACGAGACCUAAACCUACUAACUAGUUAUUGGUAACUUGGACUCUAAUUUUUUAGAGACCGAAUAUUUAUCUAAACUUCUUAGAGGGACUCUUUAUACAUUAAAUGAAUGGAAGUUUUAGGCAACAACAGGU